Molecule: ribosomal RNA, 255 nt
Filed under: uncultured bacterium
Lineage: Bacteria
Description: partial 16S ribosomal RNA
Rfam family: Bacterial small subunit ribosomal RNA
Source: RNAcentral
UACGUAGGGGGCAAGCGUUGUCCGGAUUUAUUGGGCGUAAAGAGCGUGUAGGCGGCUAGACAGGUCCGCUGUGAAAACUCGAGGCUCAACCUCGAGACGUCGGUGGAAACCGUCUGGCUAGAGUCCGGAAGAGGAGAGUGGAAUUCCCGGUGUAGCGGUGAAAUGCGCAGAUAUCGGGAAGAACACCCGUGGCGAAGGCGGCUCUCUGGGACGGUACUGACGCGUGAGACGCGAAAGCGUGGGGAGCGAACGAGG